This 229-nucleotide ribosomal RNA is filed under the name uncultured bacterium. RNAcentral's name for it is "partial 16S ribosomal RNA". It matches the Rfam family "Bacterial small subunit ribosomal RNA", at positions 568 to 796 of the family's 1533-position model. The record is from RNAcentral.
UGCGUAGGCGGGCUAAUAAGUCAGUGGUGAAAUCUUCCGGCUCAACCGGGAACCUGCCAUUGAUACUGUUAGUCUUGAGUUCGGUUGAGGUAGGCGGAAUGUGUAAUGUAGCGGUGAAAUGCUUAGAUAUUACACAGAACACCAAUUGCGUAGGCAGCUUCCUAGACCGACACUGACGCUGAGGCACGAAAGCGUGGGGAGCGAACAGGAUUAGAUACCCUGGUAGUCC